RNAcentral lists this ribosomal RNA (409 nucleotides) under Funneliformis caledonium. Its description in RNAcentral is "eukaryotic LSU rRNA". It matches the Rfam family "Eukaryotic large subunit ribosomal RNA", at positions 85 to 488 of the family's 3401-position model. The record is from RNAcentral. Lineage: Eukaryota; Fungi; Glomeromycota; Glomeromycetes; Glomerales; Glomeraceae.
AACGGCGAGCGAAGAGGGAUAAGCUCAAAUUUUAAAUCUGUUGGGUUUCACCUAACAGAGUUGUAUUUUGAAGAAACGUUUUCUGCGUCCAGGAUUAGCCUAAAUCCUUUGGGAUAAGGUAUCAUGGAGGGUGAGAAUCCCGUUCAUGGUUAAUCUUAAGGAUGCUCUACGAUACGUUCUCCAAGAGUCGAGUUGUUUGGGWUUGCAGCUCAAAAUGGGAGGUAAAUUUCUCCUAAGGCUAAAUAUUGGCGAGAGACCGAUAGCGAACAAGUACCGUGAGGGAAAGAUGAAAAGAACUUUGAAAAGAGAGUUAAACAGUACGUGAAAUUGUUGAAAGGGAAACGAUUGAAGUCAGUCAUACCAACGGGAAAUCAACCUCUUGAGUUUGGUCUCGUGGGUUUYGAAGAGU